Molecule: ribosomal RNA, 368 nt
Filed under: uncultured organism
Description: bacterial SSU rRNA
Rfam family: Bacterial small subunit ribosomal RNA
Source: RNAcentral
CGUAGGUGGCAAGCGUUGUCCGGAUUUAUUGGGUUUAAAGGGUGCGUAGGCGGUCUUGUAAGUCAGUGGUGAAAUACGGCAGCUUAGCUGUCGAGGUGCCAUUGAUACUGCAGGACUUGAGUACAGACGAGGUAGGCGGAAUUGACGGUGUAGCGGUGAAAUGCUUAGAUAUCGUCAAGAACACCGAUAGCGAAGGCAGCUUACUAGACUGUAACUGACGCUGAUGCACGAAAGUGUGGGGAUCAAACAGGAUUAGAUACCCUGGUAGUCCACACUGUAAACGAUGAUUACUCGAUGUUGGCGAUACACAGCCAGCGUCUUAGCGAAAGCGAUAAGUAAUCCACCUGGGGAGUACGCCGGCAACGGUG